RNAcentral lists this ribosomal RNA (497 nucleotides) under uncultured bacterium. RNAcentral's name for it is "partial 16S ribosomal RNA". It matches the Rfam family "Bacterial small subunit ribosomal RNA", at positions 28 to 507 of the family's 1533-position model. The record is from RNAcentral.
GAUGGACGCUGGCGGCGUGCCUAAUACAUGCAAGUCGAGCGAACGGACGAGAAGCUUGCUUCUCUGAUGUUAGCGGCGGACGGGUGAGUAACACGUGGAUAACCUACCUAUAAGACUGGGAUAACUUCGGGAAACCGGAGCUAAUACCGGAUAAUAUUUUGAACCGCAUGGUUCAAAAGUGGAAGACGGUCUUGCUGUCACUUAUAGAUGGAUCCGCGCUGCAUUAGCUAGUUGGUAAGGUAACGGCUUACCAAGGCAACGAUGCAUAGCCGACCUGAGAGGGUGAUCGGCCACACUGGAACUGAGACACGGUCCAGACUCCUACGGGAGGCAGCAGUAGGGAAUCUUCCGCAAUGGGCGAAAGCCUGACGGAGCAACGCCGCGUGAGUGAUGAAGGUCUUCGGAUCGUAAAACUCUGUUAUUAGGGAAGAACAUAUGUGUAAGUAACUGUGCACAUCUUGACGGUACCUAAUCAGAAAGCCACGGCUAACUACGUG